This 459-nucleotide ribosomal RNA is filed under the name uncultured bacterium. RNAcentral describes it as "partial 16S ribosomal RNA". It matches the Rfam family "Bacterial small subunit ribosomal RNA", at positions 338 to 795 of the family's 1533-position model. The record is from RNAcentral.
CCUACGGGUGACAGCAGUGAGGAAUAUUGGUCAAUGGCCGAGAGGCUGAACCAGCCAAGUCGCGUGAGGGAAGACGGCCCUACGGGUUGUAAACCUCUGUUGUCGGGGAGCAAAGCGAACCACGUGUGGUUCAUUGAGAGUACCCGAAGAAAAAGCAUCGGCUAACUCCGUGCCAGCAGCCGCGGUAAUACGGAGGCUGCGAGGGUUAUCCGGAUUUGUUGGGGUUAAGGGGUGCGCAGGCGGAGGUGCAAGUCAGCGGUCAAAUUGCGGGGCUCAACCCCGUACUGCCGUUGAAACUGCAUCCCUUGAGUGCGCGAGAAGUAGGCGGAAUGCGUGGUGUAGCGGUGAAAUGCAUAGAUAUCACGCAGAACUCCGAGUGCGAAGGCAGCAUACCGGCGCGCCACUGACGCUCAUGCACGAAAGCGUGGGUAUCGAACAGGAUUAGAUACCCCAGUAGUC